CGGAUUCCCUCCUCUCUGGUUUCAGGGUGCAUCACCUGAGAACUGCCACUGCCAAGUAACUGCAGCUUGGCAGUUCUUGUAUGAGCCUCUGUGCCCUGGUGGUCAGUGCACGUCAUAGCAACCGGUCAGAUAGGGGGAGGGACAAUUUGCAUAUUAGCCUUUUAUUUUAUAGG
Molecule: long non-coding RNA, 173 nt
Organism: Pipistrellus kuhlii (Kuhl's pipistrelle)
Lineage: Eukaryota; Metazoa; Chordata; Mammalia; Chiroptera; Vespertilionidae
Exons: 3
Source: RefSeq, a predicted model, not a curated record